GGCUGUCACUCUCCACCCCCUCCCCCACACCUCCACCCUGGACCUUGGGCUGUAACUCUCCACUCCCUCCCCCCACACCUCCAUCCUGGCCCUUGGGCUGUCACUCUACACUCCCUGUCCCCACUCCUCCAUCCUGGACCUUGGUCUGUCACUCUCCACUCCGUGUCCCAAACCUACAUCCUGGACCCUGGGCUGUCACUCUCCACUACCUCUCCCACACCCCCAUCCUGGACCUUGGGAUGUCACUCUCCACUACCUCUCCCACACCUCCACCCUGGACCUUGGGCUGUAACUCUCCACUCCCUCCCGCACGCCUCCAUCCUGGACCUUUGGCUGUCACUCUCCACUACCUCUCCCACACCCCCAUCCUGGACCUUGGGAUGUCACUCUCCACUACCUCUCCCACACCUCCACCCUGGACCUUGGGCUGUAACUCUCCACUCCCUCCCGCACGCCUCCAUCCUGGACCUUAGGCUGUCACUCUCCACUGCCUCUCCCACACCUCCACCCUGGACCUUGGGCUGUCACUUUCCACUCCCUCUCCCCACACCUCCAUCCUGUACCUUGUGCUGUCACUCUCCACUCCGUGUCCCAAACCUACAUCCUGGACCCUGGGCUGUCACUCUCCACUGCCUCUCCCACACCUCCAUCGUGGACCUUGGGCUGUCACGCUCCACUCCCUCUCCCCACACCUCCAUCCAGGACCUUGGGCUCUCACUCUCCACUCCCUCCCCACACCUCCAUCCAGCACCUUGGGCUGUCACUCUCCACUACCUCUCCCACACCUCCACCCUGGACCUUGGGCUGUCCCUCUCCACUCCCUGUCCCCCCACCUCCAUCCUGGCCCUUGGGCUGUCACUCUACACUCCCUCUCCCACACAUCCAUCCUGGACCUUGGUCUGUCACUCUCCACUCCGUGUCCCAAACCUACAUCCUGGACCCUGGGCUGUCACUCUCCACUCCGUGUCCCAAACCUACAUCCUGGACCCUGGGCUGUCACUCUCCACCCCCUCUCCCACACCUCCAUCCCGGACCUUGGGCUGUCACUCUACACUCCCUGUCCCCACUCCUCCAUCCUGGACCUUUGGCUGUCACUCUCCACUACCUCUCCCACACCUCCAUCGUGGACCUUGGGCUGUCACGCUCCACUCCCUCUCCCCCUCCUCCAUCCAGGACCUUGGGCUGUCGCUCUCCACCCCCUCUCCCACACCUCCAUCCUGUACCUUGUGCUGUCACUCUCCACUCCGUGUCCCAAACCUACAUCCUGGACCCUGGGCUGUCACUCUCCACCCCCUCCCCCACACCUCCAUCCUGGACCUUGGGAUGCUUCCCGAGGCACCCCACCCACGGCCCUGCCCCGUCACCUCCUCUUGGCUGCCCCUCGGGCUCCUCUCCACAGGGCAGCCACAGGGACACCAUGGGAGAGCUGUCCAGACCUCCCUGCCAGCUGCUUCCCCGGGCUCCCGAGUCAGCGUCUGAGCCACACCCCCAGGCUGCACAGCCCCCACCCCACUGCAGGGCCAGGCCAACAGGGACGGGCUGAGGCCACGCACUCUGGUUAUCUCGGCGCCACCCCGGGCCACCGUGUGACACACUCACCAGCUGGAGGGCACAACACUGACUGCCCGCUGAGGCCUCGUUCCCACACUCCUUCUGCCCAGCUCACCCUGCCAGGCAGACGCGCACCCUCUGCACACAGCCCUGUGGCAGCAGAGCAUUCCUAGUCCCUCAGUGAGGCCACCUGAGGGCUCCCAGAUCUGGGGGGACUGGACGUGCCCCUGAGGGCUCCGCGUGCAGGGGCCUCGGUGGGCGGGGUCCCUGGCCUCCUGCUCACCCUUCAGGACACCGCAGGCUCCACCCGGCUGUUCUCAGAUGAGCCCAGAGCCCAGAGCCACCACAGGCUGGGAGGACUUGGCCUGGCUUCAAAUAUAACUCUGGAAUUUUAAGAGCAAUGUGCUAUUUAGGUUAACGUGGGCCACAGCCCAUUUCCCUCCCCAAACCAAGGUCCAGGAGGCCCACUCAUCCCAGCUAAGGGUGUGUCUGUAAGAGCGACCACAAGCCAGAGUUGUGACACAGGCUAGUGUCACAAAGGCUAGUGCCCUGGGGGCCUGGGGGAGGGGCUGGGAGGACCUGGGGCGACCCUAGGGGUGAGGUCUGGACCCAUCCCCAGGAGCAGAGCCCUGGGCACAGCGAGGAGUCAAGACAAGCAGGCAGGGCCCUGGGACCAGGCGAGAGGCUCCAUCCUGAGCCUUGGCCGGCCCCUCACCUGGGGGAACCCCGCCCCCGAGCCUGCUCCUGGUGCAUCAGUGGUGGCCUUGCCUGGUGGAGCCGGCCCACCGUGAGGUACCCAAGCUCCUCAGGGAGCAGCUGUGAGU
This 2375-nucleotide long non-coding RNA is filed under the name Sus scrofa (pig). Its description in RNAcentral is "lncRNA (ENSSSCG00055023519.1)". The record is from RNAcentral. Lineage: Eukaryota; Metazoa; Chordata; Mammalia; Artiodactyla; Suidae.